UUUCCUGCCGUAUCCCCCGUCUCCAUGUCCGUCUGCGCUGAGGCCUAUCGCGGAGCUGGCGGCCUUCAACUGCGACCGACCUCGAGGCUGCGGAGUCAGAGCCAGGACUUACCAACGCGAGGCUGGCCGACUUCGGGGCUGUGGUUGCCGGGCGACCCAACCUCCGACCCGACUUUGGAGACUCGGAGGCUCGGCCGUGGGCCAGUGGACAACAUCAUCGGGAGCUCGAGUUCGGUUUUCCGGAGCUCCCGUAACUACAGCUGCGUCCGCUGGACUGGAGGGCGGCAGCUUCGGCAGCUUCGAAGUUUGAACCGGCCCGUUUGCGGAGCACGGAUUCAGCUGCGGGACUUACCUACCAUCACCCGGCGGGGUCACAACAUCGGAGGCUUGGAUUACCUCAGCGCAGAGUGAGGGCAAGGAGGGAAGAGACAAUGACUUUGGGACUUUAAACUGUGUUGAGUGUUUAUUAUUUAUUCUAUGUUAUGGCUGCAGGCUAAACCAUUUUGUUGCACUGAAAAGUUCAAUGAAAAUAAAUUGAAUCAAAUCAAAUCAAAUCAAAUCAAAGCAUCUAUGGGGUGAAGGAAAUAGGCGACGUUUCAGGUCGAGACCCAAAACGUCACCUAUUUCCUUUGCUCCAUAGAUGCUGACUCACCCGCUGACUUUCUCCAGCAUUUAUGUCCACCUUUGAUUUUCCAGCAUCUGCAGUUCCUUCUUAAACAAAGAUAAUUGACCUCUUCAACUUUACAACAACCACCAGCCCCAGUAGGUAUAAGGCUGGAGCAACCUGUUAUGGCUUUCCGUUUCCGAAUGGGAAACAUUGUUUCCUAAUAAAGAGUGCUAGGUGAACAAUGACAUUGGCCCUGAUUCCCUUCCCAGUUGAGGAGUUGUCUAAUAUUCCAUCUGCUGGAGGAACUCAGUGGGUCAAGCAGCAUCUACAGGGGAAAAGGAAUGGUCGACGUUUCAGACCAAUAUCUUUGAUCAGAACUGAGAACUCAGGACCAUUCCUAUCCACCCAAAGAUGCUGCUCAACUCUCUGAAUUCCUACAAGAGAUUGUUUUGUGCUCCAAAUUCCAGCAACUGCAGUCUCUGGUGUGUCUGACUGGCUUGUUACAUAUGUGAAGUAUUCCCACCUGAAUGAGGUCCCAGAACAUUGAAUCUAACUAUAUCACAUCGUCAGUGAGGCUACUGGUUAGGAGAGAAGACAGCGCAUGAAAAACAAAUAUAUUUAUUUGAGCAGAGCAGCUCAGCUCGCAUGAACCUGGGGGAGAAUAUUUCAUGGUGUUUCAUGUUUCAAUGAAACAGAAACGGAUUUGGUGUGCAGAUCCUGCAUGGUAACCUGUCAUGAACCUAGUUUAAAUUUGUCUUGCUGUUUAUUUUCUGAUAGGGAGGCAUGAGUCUUCAGCUUUGCUAAUUUGUACUGAAUUAGCUGAUCACACUCUGAGCAGCAGAAGGCUUCAACUAUCUGCCCAACCCAGUCUGACCACAGGAACCUCUCCCCUGUCACUGAAUGGGGCCGAUUCUGUGAGGACUUCCGUAAUUGCAGUGUGCUCUCAAACUGAUUGAAGGGAAUUAUGCUCUUGGCUUUAUUAUUUAUUUUUCUUGAUUUCCUCACGAACACUUUGUGGUUCAGUCAUGUUGCAUUUUGUGUUUGCUCUCACUUUGCUUUACAAUAAUAAUCAACCACCUCUCUUGUCUCUGGAUGGCUUUCUCAGGACGAGGGGGCCACCUGACCCUGACCCUGACCCUACCCAAAUGUUUCAUUGUGAAAUCGACCCUCACUGAUGAGGAGCUAAUCCCCCUCUGUUGACAAUGGAGAGGGAAAAUCUCACUUCCCUGUGGCCAUUUGCAUUUCUCUGAGGUUUACCCCAUUCCGAUUACUUCAAGAGUCAUCAAGUUUCUUGUUUUAUCAUUUUACCAUUUUUUCUUUACUGUGUUUUAUUCCAUCAGCCGCCACCCUCUAGUUUAAGGCAGUCUGUUUUUUUUGCUUGAUUAUUUAUGAGUCAUUGUUUAAUUACUGUGGAUCCUUAUAAAUCAUACGGUCGGAUUGGAGAGGUGGCACGUUGAACGUGUGGUUCAUACUGAGUUAAUUGCUGUCAGUCAGGGUGGCAGUACAAUUAGUUUCAUUGUCCCUGAGCCAAUUAAAUGCAAUAAACAUAAAUCAGGUCAGGAUUCCCACUUCCCAGUGGUGUUAACUUCAGUGUCUGAAGAAGGGUCUCGACCCGAAACGUCACCCAUUCCUUCUAACCAGAGAUGCUGCCUGUCCCGCCGAGUUACUCCAGCACUAUGUGUCUCUCUUCCUUGUCAACUUACCAUUAGGGUAAGCAUGCUGAGGUGUCACAAAACAUUGCAAAUGGGCUUGGAUGUGAUCCCCUUCUCAAAGUAGUAUAGCCUGCAGCAAUCACUGCCGAGAUUAUAGCCUGCAGCAACGACAGCCAUCUGCCCAAUGAAACCACAGUGAGAUAGGUGGUGUUGUGGGCAAGGCUGCAAUUUGAGAAACAUUGUGGCCAGGAAUAAUAACAUUUUCAGAUUUGUUUAAGAAGGAACUGCAGAUGCUGGAAAAUCAAAGGUAGACAAAAGUGCUGGAGAAACUCAGCGGGCGCCUAUUUCCUUUGCUCAAUAGAUGCUACUGCACCCGCUGAGUUUCUCCAGCACUUUUGUCUACCUUUGAUUUCUCGGAGUUCCUCCAUGUUAGAUCCUGACUGGUAAUGCAAGUUUGAUCACUUUGUGCAUUUUCUUUGUCUAGCAACUCAGAACCCCAGGGGCAACGGUCUGAUCAAGUAUUAUUUAAAAACAAAUUAAACUGAUCAGAGGGUUAAAAUCUACUGUGGUGUUGUGGUUCCUACGAUGUGGUAUUCUGGAGUAAAUCCCAGUCAUUUAUAAUGUCAGCGCACUUCCAACCUACUAUUGCCCUCCUCCCAACUUAAUAAAGACAUGUAGGUUUGCCGAACUAUAUAACAAUGUCAUCGACUCUCUUGUUUCCUAUUACUCUCCCACCGGCCUCUUCAGACACAUACUUUGGAGAGUUGUCUCCUUGUGCCGGCUGUCCAGACUCACCCUUUGACCCAUCAGCUCCCCAGCUCCCGGUGGCAGCUGAUUUAAUUAGUUAUCUCUGGGUAAAAAGGAAAGUUACCAUCGGGAUGGAGUCUGUCCACAGACUGAUUGGCAAUUUCAUCAGUGUGAGGUAGUCUUCAACUGAAAGGUCGGUGACACGAUGAAGAGACUGACCAAGCUGUUUUAUUAACAGCAAUUUAAUUGUUGCAGUUAUGGUCACACCAAAUUUAUGUUCCCGGGUAGCUCUUGGACUGUGAAAACAACUAAAUUGAAACCUUAAAGGAACUGAGCGGAAAUAUAAAGACAGAGAUAAAAAGGGCCAUAAAAUAGUGAAUGACAGGCACACUAAAUCCUAGUCAAUUAACAAACUUCUGCCCACUAAAGUAUUCUUCUGUGGGGAAUGAUCUUUCACAGUUUGUUUAAGCACAGUCUAGAGUAGAUAUAAGAAAUCAAUAUUAGCCGAGGUAUGUUUAUUUGCUACUUUUUUCUUUAGAAGCUGUUGACUGUAGGAGCUAAGACUGAAGUGUUUAGACUAAUGAUCCAGUGCUUCGGUGCCCAAAAUACAGUCAUAUCCAGGCCAAAGGCAUUGAGUACCCAUUUGUUUGUAUGUCUACAUUCCUCAUGGAUUACCCUCUGAGAAUCAUCUCUAAGCGCCUGCACUUCAGGGAAGCCUGCAUGGCAAGACCAUGCUCCUGCCCACACUACUUGCUUCAGGAGGGCAAAGGAAAAGUAGAUGAAGCUUCCUGCCCUCGAGCAUGAAGUUUCACCCCAUUAGUGCAGCUAACUGUGAGAUAUGGCCAAAAUCAGCCUCCACGGGCUGGAUGAUCCUCCAGCUCAUAUGUUGAGAGUGAGGGUAAGUUUAUUCUGAUGGAAUCAUUGAUACCUGGGAGAAAGCCAUCGCACGUCCAGGUCACCUGCUCACCUGCUCACCUUGAACCACCUCAUUGAACUUGCUCACAGCGUACGCUGCACGCUACUCACACUGCAGACCAGCCCUGCCUUGAAGCAAGGUCUACAGUGUGAGUAGCAUGCAGGGUACGCUGUGAGCAGGAUCAAUGCAACUGCCGCAGACUGAUGCUAAGUCAGGAUUAGAGUGUUUGGCCCAUUUUAUAACAUUGACUGUGAGCCUUCAGCAGUAGAAUCAGCUGGUUCUUCUAUGCAUCAGUGUGUGUCUGUAGUCAUUCAAACCAAAGGUAUUUAAAAUCUCAUUGAGGACAUUGCACAGGUGUUGGUAUAAUUUGGCCGAACCUAAUGCCAGGGAAAGAGCGCUGGGGAACAAAAAUAUCUUGCACAAAACCAGCGUACAACAUGCACAGAAUUCCUUAAUGCCGCAUUGAGACAAUAUUUCAACUCUGCAAUGCUUUAUUCUACGGCACUGGUUUCGAAGAAUUGUGAAGUCAAAGAUUGCUACAAGUGCACUAGAAAUGGGAAACAAAGCUAUUUAAUUAACAGUUACUCCAGCCUUUUGUGUAUGUCUUCCAUUUAAACUGGCAUCUUUUCACUAUUUUCUCUCUCAACUUUCUUCAUUUACUCGUUUUCUUUCUUCACACACUAUAUAUUUCACAUUUUUCUAUCCUUUACUAUCUAACUUCUUUUUCUUAUUCUCAUCUUUUUUCAAUGUAACAAAAAAAAAAAAGAAGUUGUACAUAAAAUGUAUUAUGAAAAUAUAUAUUAGGCACUUUGGUGCCAUAUGA
Long non-coding RNA from Leucoraja erinaceus (little skate), 4745 nucleotides. RefSeq lists it as uncharacterized. Lineage: Eukaryota; Metazoa; Chordata; Chondrichthyes; Rajiformes; Rajidae. The record is from RefSeq and is a predicted model, not a curated record. The transcript has 2 exons.